RNAcentral lists this transfer RNA (73 nucleotides) under Alkalilimnicola ehrlichii. It matches the Rfam family "tRNA". Rfam says of the family: Transfer RNA (tRNA) molecules are approximately 80 nucleotides in length. RNAcentral also lists the same sequence under 2 other names. The record is from Rfam by way of RNAcentral. Lineage: Bacteria; Pseudomonadati; Pseudomonadota; Gammaproteobacteria; Chromatiales; Ectothiorhodospiraceae.
GGCCAGGUAGCUCAGUCGGUAGAGCAGGGGACUGAAAAUCCCCGUGUCGGCGGUUCGAUUCCGUCCCUGGCCA